Molecule: ribosomal RNA, 492 nt
Filed under: uncultured bacterium
Lineage: Bacteria
Description: partial 16S ribosomal RNA
Rfam family: Bacterial small subunit ribosomal RNA
Source: RNAcentral
AGUGAACGCUGGCGGUAGGCCUAACACAUGCAAGUCGAACGGCAGCACAGUAAGAGCUUGCUCUUACGGGUGGCGAGUGGCGGACGGGUGAGGAAUACAUCGGAAUCUACUUUUUCGUGGGGGAUAACGUAGGGAAACUUACGCUAAUACCGCAUACGACCUACGGGUGAAAGCAGGGGAUCUUCGGACCUUGCGCGAUUGAAUGAGCCGAUGUCGGAUUAGCUAGUUGGCGGGGUAAAGGCCCACCAAGGCGACGAUCCGUAGCUGGUCUGAGAGGAUGAUCAGCCACACUGGAACGGAGACAAGGUCCAGACGCCUACGGGAGGCAGCAGUGGGGAAUAUUGGACAAUGGGCGCAAGCCUGAUCCAGCCAUACCGCGUGGGUGAAGAAGGCCUUCGGGUUGUAAAGCCCUUUUGUUGGGAAAGAAAAGCAGCAGGUUAAUACCCCGCUGUUCUGACGGUACCCAAAGAAUAAGCACCGGCUAACUUCGUG